RNAcentral lists this ribosomal RNA (364 nucleotides) under uncultured bacterium. RNAcentral's name for it is "partial 16S ribosomal RNA". It matches the Rfam family "Bacterial small subunit ribosomal RNA", at positions 338 to 699 of the family's 1533-position model. The record is from RNAcentral.
CCUACGGGUGGCAGCAGUGAGGAAUAUUGGGCAAUGGACGGAAGUCUGAACCAGCCAUGCCGCGUGCAGGAAGAUGGCUCUAUGAGUUGUAAACUGCUUUUGUACAAGGGUAAACCUGAAUACGUGUAUUCAGCUAAAAGUACUGUACGAAUAAGGAUCGGCUAACGCCGAGCCAGCAGUCGCGGGAAUUCGGAGGAUCCAAGCGUUUUCCGGAUUUAUUGGGUGUAAAGGGUGGGAAGGCGGAUAGAUAAGUUAGAGGUGAAAUGUCCGAGCUUAACUCGGGUACUGCCUCUAAUACUGUUGAUCUAGAGAGUAGGAGAGGUAGACGGAAUGUAUGGUGUAGCGGUGGAAUGCGUAGAUAUCA